CCACGUGAUGGAGUUUCGUGUAGAAAUCAUUUCAACUAUGUGAACAAAAUAUUAGGCAAAUAGAUUGGCACUUACGACAAUGUUAAGCGUAUGCAACAAAACGGGUGGCGGAGAAUGAUUUAUCGGCAAAAGCACAUAAAAUAUAUUCAAGUGGUAAAAAUGGGCAUUUCAAUUUUAUGUCAGAAUGGCUUGUUGUCCGUGAUCAACCACGUUAUGGUAGUCAGGUAAGGGGAAAUAUUGGGUCUGGAAGCAAUGGAUCUAAGAGAGUACACUAUAAUGAUGCAAGUGACUCAAACUCUGUAGGAUUUAGUGUUCAUCCCAUAGGAAGGGAUGCAGCUAAAG
Molecule: long non-coding RNA, 342 nt
Organism: Arabidopsis thaliana (thale cress)
Lineage: Eukaryota; Viridiplantae; Streptophyta; Magnoliopsida; Brassicales; Brassicaceae
Product: other RNA
Exons: 1
Source: RefSeq